RNAcentral lists this ribosomal RNA (253 nucleotides) under uncultured Eubacteriales bacterium. RNAcentral's name for it is "uncultured Clostridiales bacterium partial 16S ribosomal RNA". It matches the Rfam family "Bacterial small subunit ribosomal RNA", at positions 524 to 776 of the family's 1533-position model. Lineage: Bacteria; Bacillati; Bacillota; Clostridia; Eubacteriales. The record is from RNAcentral.
UACGUAGGGGGCAAGCGUUGUCCGGAAUGACUGGGCGUAAAGGGAGUGUAGGCGGCCUUGCAAGUUAGAUGUGAAAUCCUACGGCUUAACCGUAGAACUGCAUCUAAAACUGUGAGGCUGGAGUGCAGGAGGGGCAGGCGGAAUUCCUGGUGUAGCGGUGAAAUGCGUAGAUAUCAGGAGGAACACCGGCGGCGAAGGCGGCCUGCUGGACUGAAACUGACGUUGAGGCUCGAAAGCGUGGGGAGCAAACAGG